GGAGUUAAGGUUUGUUUGUCAGCUGAUUUUGAGAUGGGGAGAUUAUCCUGGGUUAUCCAGAUGGGCCCAAUGUAAUCAAGGGUCCUGAAAAGUGGGAGAAGAAGGCAGAAGAGUCAGAGAGAGUAUGUGAUGUGAGAAAAACUCAACCAGCCAUUACUGGCUCUAAAGAUGGAGGGAGGGGCCACGAGCCAAGGAACGGAGGCAGCCUCUAGAAGCUGGAAAAGGCCAGGACAAGGAUUCUCCCCUCCGACUUCUAGGAAGAAAUGCAGCCCUACCAACACUUUGAUUUUAGCCCCAGGAAGCCCAUCUUGGACUCUUGAUCUCCAGAACUGUAAGGAGAAAAUCGAAGCUCCAAGAGGCUAAAUAAUUGCUGAAGUCACAUGGUCAAUAAUUGAGGGGUCCAGGACCUGUGCCCAGGUGCCUAAAGAAGUUAAGGAUACUUUGUUUCCACAGCAGUCUGAAGUCAUGAGCUCUUCUGAAAGCAUAUAGGCUAAUUCCUCCAGUAAAAAAAGAUUAGAAAUGUAUCUUUUAUAUAUCAAAAUAUCUCCAUAAUGGCUCUUGCAAUUCCAAGUCUUCCUUAAUGAACUGUUGCCAGUUAUCAGGGUAGUCACAGGAUUACUUUGAGAAGACGUGUAGGAAGCAGAUGUUCUGUUGGAGGAGGUUGUGGCUUUGAUGCAGACAAAUUCACGAUGAACACAAAUGAGGCUAUACGCUGUUGAAAGUCUAAACUGGUGAGUGCUGUCUUGGAUCUUUGAAGAAUACAAGUUAGGAAGAAGCCAUAUGAUACACAACGUGACAAACUGACUUCAGAAUAUGUAGUUAGCAAAGUGAUCUUCUUUCAUAAAUUGAUAAGGCAAGGAAUGUCCCCACAUAGACUUGGUUGAUGGUGUGGGUGGCAAAAGAGACCCAAGCAUUACUGACCAGUCACCUUUGCACAAAUUGGUUGUCAUUCUUGCAGACCGCCAAAUAUCAGUCCAUGGGAUUCACUUGAUUGGAGGGUUAUUUGCCCUAAGCCCCCAUCUCCCCUUAUGGGGCAAUCUCUUGUACACUCAACAGACAUAAUACAGAACAAAAUGGAAACACACGAGUCAAGACUUGGUACAGAAAGAGGAAGAAAAAUUGAAAGUGAAGCAAGCAGUAGAAGAAUGAGAAGAUGAACUAUGACUAUGUUUACCAAAUGUUGCACUCUCACAAAAAAAAAUUCCUUUCUUCAAAGACAUACUUUUUAAAUAAAUUGUAGAAUAGCCAAAUAAGUUCAACAAAGCAAGUUCAAUGAAACAAGUCAGAUCUGAUAUCACUGUUUAGAGACUCGUGGGCAGCAGUUCAAAAGGCCUAUGAGAGUGUGGGGAUCAAGAGGCCAUCUUAGUUCUCCUAUUAUUCUAGGGUUCCUGGAAUGACACCAAGAGAGGCUCUUCAAAGGAAUCUGGUGGAACCUCCACUUGUCAAGGGAAGAAAUUUCCGUGCAAUGUCUAAAGAAACUCAGUUGUUAUAUAUUUCUUAUUUGCUUAAGAAAGGCAGGUAAAUGUUUGUUAAACCCAACCUCUCCAACUGGGAUUAGCAGAUUUUGAAUCUGGCAUGGUUAAGAAUUGGCAGACCCUUAGAUGUAAAAGUGGGACAUUGUUGAGUGGCUAUUUAAACUCAGUUGACUUUCUUACCCUUCACCCUCAUUAAUUUCCAAUCCACUCCAGUUUCUCCACCAGCUAGAUUCUUUCAGGGUAAGUCAACAAGAUGCUUCCACGUUACUCUUCCCAAGUCACCUAUUUGACCUGUCUGUGGUUUGCUGAAAUGUUUCCCAUGAUGCUCAGUGUCCAUGGAAUAAAUGUGUCCAAGUUCCUCCAAACAUUCUACAUCUGACUCAUGCUGCCUUCCUUUCCCUGCCACUUGCCUGAUUCCUCUCCAGGUGCUUCACACACCGGUCAGUGAGUUGUUUAUAAGUAAACUGAGCAUCCUUUAUACUUUAUCAUGUGUGUCCUUUCGCUUGUGUUCUUCUUUCCACCUGAAAUGUUCAACACCCUCAACUCCAUUUAGAUAACAUACACCUGUUCCUUCUGACUCCAGUCAAAAGUGUUCUCUGAUUAUUGACCUUGACAGGAGCAUAUAAUAUCCAUUCUUGCCCCUGAGUUGUAAGUAUAACUUGGUAUAUGGGGAGGAAGCAAAAACCUGCAUUUCUCAGUUGCUGACUGUGCCCUUGGGUGAUUUCAUUUUACACCUUCAUUGGUAAAU
Long non-coding RNA from Equus caballus (horse), 2223 nucleotides. The record is from Ensembl. NCBI's taxonomy places the organism in Eukaryota, Metazoa, Chordata, Mammalia, Perissodactyla, Equidae.